RNAcentral lists this ribosomal RNA (498 nucleotides) under uncultured bacterium. RNAcentral describes it as "partial 16S ribosomal RNA". It matches the Rfam family "Bacterial small subunit ribosomal RNA", at positions 28 to 507 of the family's 1533-position model. The record is from RNAcentral.
GACGAACGCUGGCGGCGUGCCUAAUACAUGCAAGUCGAACGAGAGCGACCGGUGCUUGCACUGGUCAAUCUAGUGGCGAACGGGUGAGUAACACGUGGGUAACCUGCCCAUCAGAGGGGGAUAACAUCCGGAAACGGAUGCUAAUACCGCAUAGGUCUUCGAACCGCAUGGUUUGAAGAGGAAAAGAGGCGCAAGCUUCUGCUGAUGGAUGGACCCGCGGUGCAUUAGCUAGUUGGUGAGGUAACGGCUCACCAAGGCCGUGAUGCAUAGCCGACCUGAGAGGGUGAUCGGCCACAUUGGGACUGAGACACGGCCCAAACUCCUACGGGAGGCAGCAGUAGGGAAUCUUCCGCAAUGGACGCAAGUCUGACGGAGCAACGCCGCGUGAGUGAAGAAGGUUUUCGGAUCGUAAAACUCUGUUGUUAGAGAAGAACAAGUGCUAGAGUAACUGUUAGCGCCUUGACGGUAUCUAACCAGAAAGCCACGGCUAACUACGUG